GAUGAACGCUGGCGGCGUGCCUAAUACAUGCAAGUCGAGCGAACGGACGAGAAGCUUGCUUCUCUGAUGUUAGCGGCGGACGGGUGAGUAACACGUGGAUAACCUACCUAUAAGACUGGGAUAACUUCGGGAAACCGGAGCUAAUACCGGAUAAUAUUUUGAACCGCAUGGUUCAAAAGUGAAAGACGGCCUUGCUGUCACUUAUAGAUGGAUCCGCGCUGCAUUAGCUAGUUGGUAAGGUAACGGCUUACCAAGGCAACGAUGCAUAGCCGACCUGAGAGGGUGAUCGGCCACACUGGAACUGAGACACGGUCCAGACUCCUACGGGAGGCAGCAGUAGGGAAUCUUCCGCAAUGGGCGAAAGCCUGACGGAGCAACGCCGCGUGAGUGAUGAAGGUCUUCGGAUCGUAAAACUCUGUUAUUAGGGAAGAACAUAUGUGUAAGUAACUGUGCACAUCUUGACGGUACCUAAUCAGAGAGCCACGGCUAACUACGUG
Molecule: ribosomal RNA, 497 nt
Filed under: uncultured bacterium
Lineage: Bacteria
Description: partial 16S ribosomal RNA
Rfam family: Bacterial small subunit ribosomal RNA
Source: RNAcentral